UUCCAUAUAGUAGGAAGUGGCUGCAUCAGUAAUACAGCAUGUAUUAACAGCCCAUAGGAAUUGUCAUGCCUAUUGUGUCACUAAUCCAUAGAUUAUGUGCCUUUUAUAGAGCCUAUUACAUAACAGAUCAUGAUGGGUCAUCAUGUCAAGAAUGGAAGGAUUAAAAGAAGAGGUAUUUUUCACAUUCAGAUUCUGAUUCCUAAGAAGACAGUGUGCUGUAUGUCAGAAGUAUGGCAGCAAGCAGAACCACAUGAGGAGCAAAUUGCCACAACCACUACACAUCUCAGCCUGUGCAGAAGCAGCUACAUGUAUCUCACAUGUCAGGACAGGGAGGUAUAA
RNAcentral lists this long non-coding RNA (339 nucleotides) under Manacus vitellinus (golden-collared manakin). Its description in RNAcentral is "lncRNA (ENSMVIG00005005254.1)". The record is from RNAcentral. Lineage: Eukaryota; Metazoa; Chordata; Aves; Passeriformes; Pipridae.